RNAcentral lists this ribosomal RNA (496 nucleotides) under uncultured bacterium. RNAcentral describes it as "partial 16S ribosomal RNA". It matches the Rfam family "Bacterial small subunit ribosomal RNA", at positions 30 to 523 of the family's 1533-position model. The record is from RNAcentral.
AUUGAACGCUGGCGGCAUGCUUUACACAUGCAAGUCGAACGGUAGAGGGGGCAACCCCUUGAGAGUGGCGAACGGGUGAGUAAUGCAUCGGAACGUGCCCAGUCGUGGGGGAUAACGCAGCGAAAGCUGUGCUAAUACCGCAUACGAUCUCUGGAUGAAAGCGGGGGACCGAAAGGCCUCGCGCGAUUGGAGCGGCCGAUGUCAGAUUAGGUAGUUGGUGGGGUAAAGGCCUACCAAGCCAACGAUCUGUAGCUGGUCUGAGAGGACGACCAGCCACACUGGGACUGAGACACGGCCCAGACUCCUACGGGAGGCAGCAGUGGGGAAUUUUGGACAAUGGGCGCAAGCCUGAUCCAGCAAUGCCGCGUGCAGGAAGAAGGCCUUCGGGUUGUAAACUGCUUUUGUACGGAACGAAACGGUCUGGGUUAAUACCCUGGGCUAAUGACGGUACCGUAAGAAUAAGCACCGGCUAACUACGUGCCAGCCGCCGCCGUAA